Molecule: transfer RNA, 72 nt
Filed under: Bos taurus (domestic cattle)
Lineage: Eukaryota; Metazoa; Chordata; Mammalia; Artiodactyla; Bovidae
Also listed under: 2 other names
Rfam family: tRNA
About the family: Transfer RNA (tRNA) molecules are approximately 80 nucleotides in length. Their secondary structure includes four short double-helical elements and three loops (D, anti-codon, and T loops).
Source: Rfam by way of RNAcentral
UCCCUCCUAGCUCAGUUCGUAAAGAAUCUGCCUGCAAUGCAGGAAACCUGGGUUCAAUUCCUGGGUUGGGAA